AGAGUUUGAUCCUGGCUCAGGACGAACGCUGGCGGCGUGCUUAACACAUGCAAGUCAAGGAGAACUUCCACUUCGGUGGAUUAGUAAACUGGCGAACGGGUGAGUAACACGUAGGUAACCUACCCUUGGGUUGGGGAUAACCUUGCUAAAGCGGGGAUAAUACCGAAUCAUGUAUUUUUAUCGCAUGAUAUAAAUAUGAAAGUUGUCUUGAUUUAUCAGGAUGACGCCUAAGGAUGGACCUGCGCCCCAUUAGUUAGUUGGUAAGGUAGCGGCUUACCAAGGCAGCGAUGGGUAGCCGGCCUGAGAGGGUGUACGGCCACACUGGGACUGAGAUACGGCCCAGACUCCUACGGGAGGCAGCAGUGAGGAAUAUUGCGCAAUGGCCGCAAGGCUGACGCAGCAACGCCGUGUGGGUGAUGAAUCUCUAAGGAGCGUAAAGCCCUGUUAGGAGGGAAGAAUGGCUCUGAUGCGAAUAACAUCGGAGUUUGACGGUACCUCCAAAGAAAGCCCCGGCUAACUCCGUGCCAGCAGCCGCGGUAAUACGGGGGGGGCAAGCGUUGUCCGGAAUUAUUGGGCGUAAAGGGCGCGUAGGCGGAAUAGUAAGUCAGAGGUGAAAACCAUAGGCUCAACUUGUGGCUUGCCUUUGAAACUGCUAUUCUUGAGUGCGGAAGAGGGGAGUGGAAUUCCUGGUGUAGCGGUGAAAUGCGUAGAUAUCAGGAAGAACACCGGUAGCGAAGGCGGCUUCCUGGUCCGUAACUGACGCUGAGGCGCGAAAGCGUGGGGAGCAAACNGGAUUAGAUACCCUGGUAGUCCACGCUGUAAACGAUGGGCACUAGGUGUUGGUUCGCCAUAGCGAAUCAUNGNCCGAANCUAACGCAUUAAGUGCCCCGCCUGGGGAGUACGAUCGCAAGGUUGAAANUCAAAGGANUGACGGGGGGCCCGCNACAANC
Molecule: ribosomal RNA, 950 nt
Filed under: uncultured bacterium
Lineage: Bacteria
Description: bacterial SSU rRNA
Rfam family: Bacterial small subunit ribosomal RNA
Source: RNAcentral